RNAcentral lists this transfer RNA (66 nucleotides) under Opilio parietinus. Its description in RNAcentral is "tRNA-Lys". The record is from RNAcentral. Lineage: Eukaryota; Metazoa; Arthropoda; Arachnida; Opiliones; Phalangiidae.
CAUUAAGUGACUGAAAUAUAAGUAAUGGUCUCUUAAACCAAUUAAUGGAAUUAACCCCCUUAAUGA